UGGGGAAUAUUGCACAAUGGGCGCAAGCCUGAUGCAGCCAUGCCGCGUGAGUGAAGAAGGCCUUAGGGUUGUAAAACUCUUUCACCGGUGAAGAUAAUGACGGUAGCCGGAGAAGAAGCCCCGGCCAACUCCGUGCCAGCAGCCGCGGUAAUACGGAGGGGGCUAGCGUUGUUCGGAAUUACUGGGCGUAAAGCGCGCGUAGGCGGGCUGGUCAGUUGGGGGUGAAAUCCCGGGGCUUAACCUCGGAACUGCCCUCAAUACUACCAGUCUAGAGAUCGAGAGAGGUAAGUGGAAUUCCUAGUGUAGAGGUGAAAUUCGUAGAUAUUAGGAAGAACACCAGUGGCGAAGGCGGCUUACUGGCUCGAUACUGACGCUGAGGCGCGAAAGCGUGGGGAGCAAACAGGAUUAGAUACCCCCGUAGUCC
RNAcentral lists this ribosomal RNA (424 nucleotides) under uncultured prokaryote. Its description in RNAcentral is "bacterial SSU rRNA". It matches the Rfam family "Bacterial small subunit ribosomal RNA", at positions 355 to 796 of the family's 1533-position model. The record is from RNAcentral.